Rhinolophus ferrumequinum (greater horseshoe bat) is the source of this 541-nucleotide long non-coding RNA. RefSeq lists it as uncharacterized. The record is from RefSeq and is a predicted model, not a curated record. The transcript is spliced from 3 exons. Lineage: Eukaryota; Metazoa; Chordata; Mammalia; Chiroptera; Rhinolophidae.
GCAGUUGGCGGUUUGCAAAACAAGUUCUAAAUAGUGUGGUGAUGUGGUGGAAGAAGACCUUGAUGAGUAAUUCAUAUAAAGUGUUGGAGUCUUCCUAAAAGUUAUUUUCCAACCAUAAAUUAAAUUGGAUUGAAUACAUGUAUUAACUGAGUUCCUCCUCUAUAAAAGACACUGUGAGAGAUACUAAAAUGAAUCUAAACACUGCCCUUAUUGCUACACACAAUGUCUUUUUCAUGCUAGAUGCUGAGAAGAUACAAGCGAGAAAGUGACCAUCUGCCAGCCAGGGUGGGAGCCAUCACUCGUCAGCCAUGCUGGGUUCUGACCUCAGACUGCCGGCACCCAGAACUAUGGGAAAAUAAGUUUAUGUUGUUUAAGCUUCCUAAUCUAUACUAUUUUGUUAUGGCAGCCUAAGCAAAUUAAAAUAAGGACCUUAUGCAUAAUCAAGGAGCUCCUUAUCUUAUGUUAAAGAAUCAUGUCACAUACCUUACAUAUUUCUAUAGAUAAAUAUACGCUUUCAUUUUCCUUUGCCUAAUAAAGUAUG